GGGUUGUGAGGUUAAGCGACUAAGCGUACACGGUGGAUGCCCUGGCAGUCAGAGGCGAUGAAGGACGUGCUAAUCUGCGAUAAGCGCCGGUAAGGUGAUAUGAACCGUUAUAACCGGCGAUUUCCGAAUGGGGAAACCCAGUGUGACUCGUCACACUAUCAUUAACUGAAUCCAUAGGUUAAUGAGGCGAACCGGGGGAACUGAAACAUCUAAGUACCCCGAGGAAAAGAAAUCAACCGAGAUUCCCCCAGUAGCGGCGAGCGAACGGGGAGGAGCCCAGAGCCUGAAUCAGCAUGUGUGUUAGUGGAAGCGUCUGGAAAGGCGCGCGAUACAGGGUGACAGCCCCGUACACAAAAGCGCAUGUGUUGUGAGCUCGAUGAGUAGGGCGGGACACGUGGUAUCCUGUCUGAAUAUGGGGGGACCAUCCUCCAAGGCUAAAUACUCCUGACUGACCGAUAGUGAACCAGUACCGUGAGGGAAAGGCGAAAAGAACCCCGGCGAGGGGAGUGAAAAAGAACCUGAAACCGUGUACGUACAAGCAGUGGGAGCCCCACCACUAAGCCAGUGGUGAACUCCACAUACGCAUCCUUUGCUGAAGGUGCGGUUAACGGAGCGCAAGCGACGUUCAACCUCAAAAGAAGCAGA
RNAcentral lists this ribosomal RNA (645 nucleotides) under Salmonella enterica subsp. enterica serovar Kentucky. RNAcentral describes it as "partial 23S ribosomal RNA". It matches the Rfam family "Bacterial large subunit ribosomal RNA", at positions 1 to 665 of the family's 2925-position model. The record is from RNAcentral. Lineage: Bacteria; Pseudomonadati; Pseudomonadota; Gammaproteobacteria; Enterobacterales; Enterobacteriaceae.